AUUUGUUUGAUGGAGUCUUCCAUCGUGUUUAUGUGAGCAUGUACCGUCACUACUUCUGCCUCCGUUGUGUUCACCUUUUCCGUGACCGUGCGCAGUUCGGUCCUCAAGAGGGCUGAGUCAGCUGCUAGGAGCUUAUGGAUGUCUGCUAGAAGGAGCUUUAAGUCACGUUUGGUGGUUGGUGCAGAGUCAUCCGGGGACUCCAGCAGUGGCUGUAGUGGUGCUUGUAAGUGCCCUUGUACGUCAGGUCUGGUUUGUAGUGGGUUGUGUACCCUUUCAGGCUGUAUUGCCCAUGGGGGUCCCUGGGAGUCCGGGCCUUGUGGUGCCCGGGUGUGCGGCUGCUGAUUUUGGUGCUGCCCAGUAAGUUCUGGCCCCUGUAAUCCUGUUUUGGGGGUCUGUGGGGGCCCCGGUGGUUCUUGCCGUUGUUGGGGUGUGGUAGGUGCCAGGGUAGCCUCCAGCGUUUCUGCCGCUGGUUUGGGUUUGGGCUGGGUAGGCUUUUGGAGCAUAGUCCCAAUAUCCCUGCCCCCAGCCGUACCUUGUGGCCUUUGUGAUCGGCGUCCCAUUGCCGGCAUAUGAGUCAGAGCUGUGGAUGGGUCCGGGGCGCAGGAGGUGUCUGUGUGCUCGGCUGGGUAUCCACUCAACAGGUCCUCGAGGCCCAGGCUCGUUGGGGUAUAGUAGGCCCCGAUUUUGCGUCUCCGUUUCUCUUGCCGCUGCGGUUGGAAAAAAGGCAUCGGGAGAUGCGGCCCGUUGUGCUGAUGCCGAUAGUGCGUGUGGCGAGGUUGGAUGGGUCAGAGAAAGACUGAUUUUAAUGGAUUUU
This is a non-coding RNA of Pelobates cultripes (western spadefoot toad), 814 nucleotides long. The record is from the annotation of a GenBank genome assembly. Lineage: Eukaryota; Metazoa; Chordata; Amphibia; Anura; Pelobatidae.